RNAcentral lists this ribosomal RNA (496 nucleotides) under uncultured bacterium. RNAcentral describes it as "bacterial SSU rRNA". It matches the Rfam family "Bacterial small subunit ribosomal RNA", at positions 28 to 515 of the family's 1533-position model. The record is from RNAcentral.
GACGAACGCUGGCGGCGUGGAUUAGGCAUGCAAGUCGAACGGUAGGAUCCUUUCGGGGAUCUGAGAGUGGCGAACGGGUGAGUAACACGUAGGUGAUCUACCCUCAAGACGGGGACAACCCAGGGAAACUUGGGCUAAUACCGGAUGUGAGCUAUCGCGAGAUAGUUUGAAAGGUGGCUUCGGCUGCCGCUUGAGGAUGAGCCUGCGUCCUAUUAGCUAGUUGGUGAGGUAACGGCUCACCGAGGCAGUGAUAGGUAGGCGGCCUUAACGGGUGGUCGCCCACACUGGGAUUGAGAUACGGCCCAGACUCCUACGGGAGGCAGCAGUCGAGAAUAGUCUACAAUGGUCGAAAGACUGAUAGUGCGACGCCGCGUGAACGAAGAAGCCCUUCGGGGUGUAAAGUUCUUUUAUAUGUGAGCAGUGCUUCUUAUAUUAACAGUAUGGGGAGAGAGAUAUUAGCAUAUGAAUAAGCAACGGCUAACUCCGUGCCAGCACG